AGGAGGGCGGCGGUGGGAAUGGGAUGGCGGCGACGGUCUUCUGGAACGCGGGGCGCUUGGCGAUCUCCUCCCACCACGCCUUAACAUGGGGGCGGUCGUUGACGAGCCCAGCCUUGGGGGUCUUGGUGAGGUAGAGCAGGUAGGACGCGUGGUUGGCGUCGGCGAGCGUGAACUCGUCGCCGGCGAGGUACUUGUUGCUGGCGAGGUGCGCCUCGUAGACGUCGAGCACCUUGGCGAGCUCGUGCGCGUGCUUGUCCACCACCAAUGGGUCCGGGGCGCCGCCGAAGAGCGGCCUGAAGAGGAGCUGGAACACCAGCGGCGACGCGUUCGGGUAGAAGUGGUGCGACUCCACCUCCAGCCACACCUCGAGCUUCGCCGACGCCGUCGCCGGGAGCAGCGCCGCGCCCGACGACGCGUACUUGGUCGCGAUGUACCGGUUGAUGGCACGGGACUCUGCGGUGAAAUGUGCGCGCGGUCAGGUGAGGUGAAUAGAUCAGCUAGUUCAGCAGCAGGAUUUAGUGACUAGAUUUGACAUGGGCAUCCAUCCAUCAAGUUCAAGGUAAAAUAAGCCAGGUUCUCCAGACGAAAUCCAAGUGGUCAACACUCAACAGGGAUAAUGUUCAAUAUUUAAAAAUGGGGAGGAAAAACAAAAAGAUACUGUUCCUAGAUCUGGAUCUCGUUAUUCGAUUCAUAAUCAUAAUUAACCGGUACCAGGAAUUAUUAUGUCAGUAAAAAACAGAGUGGGUGAAUGGGGAGUUUACC
RNAcentral lists this long non-coding RNA (762 nucleotides) under Sorghum bicolor (sorghum). Its description in RNAcentral is "long non-coding RNA (SBIC_LNC005849)". The record is from RNAcentral. Lineage: Eukaryota; Viridiplantae; Streptophyta; Magnoliopsida; Poales; Poaceae.